AGUGAACGCUGGCGGUAGGCCUAACACAUGCAAGUCGAACGGCAGCACAGUAAGAGCUUGCUCUUACGGGUGGCGAGUGACGGACGGGUGAGGAAUACAUCGGAAUCUACUUUUUCGUGGGGGAUAACGUAGGGAAACUUACGCUAAUACCGCAUACGACCUACGGGUGAGAGCAGGGGAUCUUCGGACCUUGCGCGAUUGAAUGAGCCGAUGUCGGAUUAGCUAGUUGGCGGGGUAAAGGCCCACCAAGGCGACGAUCCGUAGCUGGUCUGAGAGGAUGAUCAGCCACACUGGAACUGAGACACGGUCCAGACUCCUACGGGAGGCAGCAGUGGGGAAUAUUGGACAAUGGGCGCAAGCCUGAUCCAGCCAUACCGCGUGGGUGAAGAAGGCCUUCGGGUUGUAAAGCCCUUUUGUUGGGAAAGAAAAGCAGCAGGUUAAUACCCCGCUGUUCUGACGGUACCCAAAGAAUAAGCACCGGCUAACUUCGUG
RNAcentral lists this ribosomal RNA (492 nucleotides) under uncultured bacterium. Its description in RNAcentral is "partial 16S ribosomal RNA". It matches the Rfam family "Bacterial small subunit ribosomal RNA", at positions 29 to 507 of the family's 1533-position model. The record is from RNAcentral.